UUAAAAACUUUAAUACUUUUGACAAUGGACGUUUUGAAAAAACAGAUUAUGGAUUUAGCGUGUUUUCAUGUUUCUACAAUAAGAUGUCAGCGAGUUAUGAACUCAGAUUCACAAGAAAGAUCCCUUGUCCCCAGAGGGUUAAAGUCAGUUACGUUAUUUUAGUUCUGUUCUUAGAUGUUUUAGGGUAACCCUAUUCUCGGGAAUAGUUUUUCCACCGUACUGUCUGUUAACAGGGAUAGUUUGGUAUCUUCUGUAUUAUCCUUGUGGUUUGACAACUAUAAAUCCGUUCUAAAUUUGUGUUUUCUCCCCCCUGCCUGUAGAUGGCACUCUCCAGAAGCCCACUCGCAUGGGGCUCGCUGCCUCAGCCCUGCGCCGGCGGCUGCAGCCCCUGGAGGAGGUCCUGCUGGAUGAGGAGUGUGCUAUAUACACCUGCCAGCUGUCUGCCUCCUCCAUGCAGCCCCUUCGGUGUGGAAACCCAGUGGCCUCCACUCUGCACUUCAAGGAUUCUAUGUGUUUUGCUCCAGUCUCACUGCCUUCCCUUUCAUUUGGCUAAUUACCCUCUACCCAGAAUGCCACCAGUGUUUCCAGUUGUGCUUUCACCACUGAUCAUUCAAGACAGUAAGACAUUCCAAGAGUCACAACCACCUGCCAGUUUACUGAAUAUUACCCCCCCCCCCCCAUCUCUACUAAUUAUUCUCACUCCUCAUUAGACUCUGAUUUGGGAAUACAUUAAAGCAGAUCUGGUUUUUCACCGCCAUCAUGCAGAAAUAACAUAGUUUUGAGGUUCCUGUUAUCAGAUAACCAUGAGAGGGACUGCUGGUUAUCUGCUUGCAUCUCUCUAUCUAUCUUAUAACUGUUUGCUGUUUGACUUACAACAUUCCUGGAGUUGCAGUAACUUUAAUGGGAUCAGCAGGCAGUUUGUUAAAGCUAUAGGAAGAGAAUAUAUCUGUCCCUUUGUCACAUCAGGGUGCCUUUUAAUGCAAGAACAGCUAUUUUGGGAUUUUUAAAUAGGCUUGUUUGGACUGAUGCAAUUUCCCUACAUUUUCAAAGAUCACGUAGGGUACGGCCCUUGGGCUUUUCCCUGGAAGAGAACCGCAAGACCUCAUGUGGUUCUGUGUCUUAGUCAGGAUACAUGUGGCAAUGUCAGAAAGUAAAAUCAGGAGGUAAUGUUGCAGCAGACCUUUGGUUUAAGAGCCUUUGGUCUGUGGUCCAAUCAAAACAGCACAUGUUCGCAGUGACCAAUGAAACUGUUAGGCUCUAUGCUCCAUGUCUAGCCAUCUGUGUUUUCCCAGUGUGAGGAACCUCUGCAGGGUUUUCCCCAGAUGCGGCUAUGACAGGAGGGAGUCUUCCGGUAGCAGAUGAGACCCGUGUAUGAUCAAAAGGUCCAAGUGAGCAGCAGAUACAGAAGCACAGUGCAUGGAAUGUCCCCCCCCUUUAAUCCUCCUUCAUUGUCUGUUGAAUUUUUGCCUUGUUUCUAAAACUAAAUAGAAUAAAUACACUGAUCAAACAUUCUUUGCUAAAAGGCUGUUUCCAUCCAUAAUGUGCUCCUCUCUCUCCUUUUUUUUUUGUACCUCUCCGGCGUCCCCCUCUAUCAGAUGUGUUGCACGAAUCACUUCUGCACAGUGUAUAUAACAUCUAGUGUUUAUAAUAAUGUCUUUUUAUCAUAAUGUAAUAAAAUGUUAAUCUUUGUCA
Non-coding RNA from Paramormyrops kingsleyae, 1692 nucleotides. The record is from RefSeq and is a predicted model, not a curated record. NCBI's taxonomy places the organism in Eukaryota, Metazoa, Chordata, Actinopteri, Osteoglossiformes, Mormyridae.